Long non-coding RNA from Onychostruthus taczanowskii (white-rumped snowfinch), 1585 nucleotides. RefSeq lists it as uncharacterized. The record is from RefSeq and is a predicted model, not a curated record. Lineage: Eukaryota; Metazoa; Chordata; Aves; Passeriformes; Passeridae. The transcript is spliced from 2 exons.
UGCACAAACCCCGGAGCGGCGGCGGCACGGAACGCAGGGACCCGCUCCCGCCGAUGUGUGGGUUGUCAGUCGAUUUGUUGAUGAGCUUGCUAACCACGACGUUGCUUUGACAUGUCAGCUGGCGAGCCGGCGUCUGGAUGCCUCGGUGUCAUGCAGGCAGCUCCGUCUGAGCCCUGCGGAGAGCAGCUUAGAUCCGCUGGCCGGGGUUAAAAAUGAGCCGCAGUUAAGCUGCUGAAAGGGAUCCGCGCUGCCGCCAACAUCUUCCCUUUCAUUUCUGAGCCCAGCUCAAAAAGGACUUUUCUCAGCCAUCCUGGAAAAAGAACUGAAAGUGCGUGAUCAGCUGAAAAAGCAAGCUCAAGCAGCUGCAAGCAAACCUGACACUUUCUGCAACAUCCAAGAGUCCAGAAACUUUGUUUGCUUUGUUUCUAACAACUGAUCAAUUGAAACCAAUCGAUGAAAUGCUGGGGGCUGGCACAUUCCUGCCUCCACCCCAUGGGCUCUGCCUGAUCCUGAUCCCAACAGCAGCCCAGAGCUGGCUCCCAUGUAAAUGCACACACAAGUACAGAUCCUCCAGUGACAUCUGAUCCUCCAGGAUAUCUCAUGGGUGUCUAAUUAUUAUCUAAAGCCCAGCCUGGAUAAAACAGAGGUUUUGAUAUCCCUUUUCUCACAAAUCUUUUACCUAAAUCUUCUCAAAACACAGUGGGCAACAUUGUGGUUUAUCUGCCAUGCAGGCAACUGCUCCUGCUCUCCUUCAAAGCCCAUUAAUUGAGGCUGCAGUUAAACCUUGCAGAAUUUUUCAAGCCCAGCUUCUCCAGCCCUGCAGGUAAAUCUCUUGCAUAUCUCUUCCUUCAUCUGUUACUGAAGCACUUCUCCUGGGCCCUGAUCAUACCUCAGUCUUACCCAUUCACAACACCACCAUGGAGAUUUUUCUCCUAACCUUUCUCUUUUGGCCUGUUUCUCAGGCUGUACCCCUUCAUGGGUUAAUCCCUUCCAAUGACACCAAACUCAUGUCUUUGCUGUCAAUGACCUGUGACUUCUCUGUCCAUAGCCCUUCCCACCAACAACCAGCCCACAAUGGUGGCCAACCUCCUUUCUCUCAUGUCUUUGGAAGUGCUCUUCAAAAAACCUCCAAAAAUCAGUCUCUGGUAGAAACCCAUCUUUGCUCCCAGUAUCUGCAUACUGGUCAUGUUGCCACACAACACAUUGGUAAAUAUCACUUUCCUUCUCCAUGUUCCCAUUUGUCUGAGCCACCCAUUUUCCUAUGUCUUAAUCUUGGAAUAGCAAGAGUGAGGAUUUGUUGCGUAGCACAGCUCAGCCCAGCUGCAGCUUCUUGUCCUAUGGCAACAAGAACCAGGAAUAAUAACAGCAAGGUGGUGACUCAUUAAAACCAAUAACCUCAAUAAUUAGACUUACUUAACUUUUCCAAUUGUAUAAACAGCUGAGAAAAAAAAAAAAAUAGAGUCUUAUGCUUUACCAAUAUUUUUCCUUCUUCCAGUUUCCCACACAGAAAUUGUCUGUAUUGGCACUUGUCACAGUCAAAUUUCCUCUCUCUCCACACAACAGUAAAUUCAUGGAGUGAACUGAA